AGCAGCCGCGGUAAUUCCAGCUCCAAUAGCGUAUAUUAAAGUUGUUGCAGUUAAAAAGCUCGUAGUUGAACUUCGGGGUUUACCCAUUGGUCAGGCUUAAUUGUCUGNACUGGUGAGAUGAAUCUCUACCUUCUGAGGAACUUUCAUGCCAUUUAUUUGGUGUGAUGGAAAUCAGGACUGUUACUUUGAAAAAUUAGAGUGUUUAAAGCAGGCUAACGUCUGAAUACAUUAGCAUGGAAUAAUGAAAUAGGACGGACUGAUUCUAUUUCGUUGGUUUCUAGGAUCACCGUAAUGAUUAAUAGGGAUAGUUGGGGGCAUUAGUAUUCAAUUGUCAGAGGUGAAAUUCUUGGAUUUAUUGAAGACUAACUACUGCGAAAGCAUUUGCCAAGGAUGUUUUCAUUAAUCAAGAACGAAAGUUAGGGGAUCGAAGACGAUCAGAUACCGUCGUAGUCUUAACCAUAAACUAUGCCGACUAGGGAUCGGACGAAGUUAAUUUUAUAAUGACGCGUUCGGCACCUUA
Molecule: unclassified non-coding RNA, 520 nt
Filed under: uncultured Glomus
Lineage: Eukaryota; Fungi; Glomeromycota; Glomeromycetes; Glomerales; Glomeraceae
Description: SSU rRNA
Rfam family: Eukaryotic small subunit ribosomal RNA
Source: RNAcentral